Molecule: long non-coding RNA, 304 nt
Filed under: Elaeis guineensis (African oil palm)
Lineage: Eukaryota; Viridiplantae; Streptophyta; Magnoliopsida; Arecales; Arecaceae
Description: long non-coding RNA (EGUI_LNC066627)
Source: RNAcentral
AUAUAUUUAGAAGAUUAAAAUAUUUAAUCUUUUAUUAUUCUACUAUAAAAUUUUAAAAAUACAUACUUUAAACUAUCUAUUUUUUCUUCACCCAGUCGUUGGAUCAUCGAGUCAGAAAUCGAUGAUGCCAAUAAGACUGGUACAUCCUAUGUAUGCUCGAUGGAGAGAGUGAUUGAUCUCACAAUCAUUUAUGUGGUGACACUAAUACAAGGAUGUAGGUACUCAUUAGAGAAUGAGUUCACUGAACUGAUCUAUAGGGAGAACAUCUGAUGGAGCCUUACAGUAUGUCGAUAGAUGGUUCUCC